CUAAUCUCUGUAGGUGCCACAGGGCAAAUUCUCUGUUCAGUUGCACUCAAAUCUUCUCCCAUUUUAGCAUCAACACCAUCUUGCUGUACUGUGAAUUUCCCCUGCUUACUUGCAUGUGACUUGCUUUCAUUUUUCUCCUAACUUUUAUACUUUCUAUUAUCCAAUAUUCUUCCCAGAAUAUUUCCCACUUUAAAUGGCUUCUAUAGGAUUUCCUUUUCCUUUUUUAAAAACAAACAUUUUUUUUCAUCUUUCUACAUAGACAUAUUAGACAUGACAGGUUUAUACCUGUCCACCUCUAAUACACAGUGUCCCUGAAAUAGGCACAGACAACGAUGGGUGUUUCCCCAUGCUCAAAGAUGGAGUAAAAGGUAAGUAAAAUUCAUUAGAUGAAGCAGCACAAGUGGGCAGCACAACAAUAAGGUCACAGGAAGGUUUUGAUUUGAAUGUGAAUCAUUCCCUGUACAAUCCAGAGGUUGGAAGAGGACAGUCUCCUUCUCUCUUGUAUUUAGGUGGCAUCAGAUGAGGGGAGUUGUGGUUGGCUUCCCUCCACCCUGACUUUGGAAGAUUUUCAUGAGAUGGACCCCAUUCCUUUGGCACAUCCAGCGAGGUGGUGUCUGGAUACUGACUAGUCCAUGCCUGUCAAAAUGCUGGAUGGGAAGCAGAGCAGGAUAGGACACUUGGAGAUCAUGAAGAUUUCAGCGAUACCAUACUCCCCUGCAGGAGGAGGGAUUAAGAGGGUUACAGAACAGAUUUACAAGCCCUGGAGAGGUAACAAGGCGAAUGCACCUUUGCAGUCAUUAAUCCAUACUGCCUUCACAUCUGCAGUUUCUCACUGAAACUUGGGCAAGGAGAGUUUGAGACACUGUGAUAGCAACACCAGGUGGGAUUUUCUGGAAUGGAUAAGUGCUCGGAAUCAAGAAAUAAUAUUCUGCUGAAUCCUUUCCUUCUCCCUCUCCCUCUGUGGCACACCCUCACUGUGGCCCUGUCUGUCACCAGAGAAGAUGACAGCAGCUUUCCUCUGUACAGAGACUGUUCCAUACCUGAGCAGUGCUGGGAUUUUCAGGCAGAAGUGGGUCUUGUAUUGCCACACACAGCUUGUGUUCGGGUGUGGCUCCUACAUCAGGCUCAUCCCACAUACCCACCUUGUGGGUUAUGCUGGUGGAUGGGGUGCUGGUGAUCCAGUCCCUGCCUGAGGAUGAAACCAUCAUGCUGCUGUCUUGUUAUGGCCAUGCAGGACAUUCUGGAAUGGAGUGAAAGAACCCUGGGCAUGUGUUUGUCUCCUACCCAUGAUCUGCUUCCAUGAACCCUUCUGGUGGAGGUGGGUUGGGCUGCAGCUCUGGACUGGGUGAAAAUCUCACUAAGCAUCUCAUAGGUUUAGAAAGUUUGACUUCUUCAAGCCAUGAGCUAUCAUGAAUAUGGCAACUUCUAACAUCACUAAUGUGUCUGUAGAGAAGAAAUUAAAACAGAGGCCCCAAUGAAGGCAAGGGACUUUUGGGGAAAAGAAAAGCUAGCUCCAGGGAAGGGGCAGAGAGGAAGUCCUUGGUGCAGCCCUUGUUUCUGCUCUCAGGAUGUAAACACAAGCACUAGAGGGAUACUCCCUCAGAGAAGCAGAACCUGUUGAGGUCCUGAUACCAUCCUCACCACUGGAACCAGCCAGCCAUCACAGCUCCCUGCAGCAUCGUCCCACCAACGUGCACCCCUGAUAUCACUUGUUAGGGACCACCUUGCUCUCUGACAGCUAUUCCUACUGGAAUCUCUUACAGAAGGAAUCAGCAUGGGUUAGAGAAACCCAUGGGUAGUAUUGAGAAGGCAAUUGAUAUGCUGGGAAAUUUAGGACUUUUAUGGACUUGCAGAAGUUUCAAGCUUCUGACAUCAGUCUGAAUCCUUUUUUCUGAGCUUAUAGUGAACACUGAAAAUAUUAAGAGUACUUUCAGUUGAAAAAUUUUUAUUCACCACACAUAUCACAGUCUAUUUGUGUUGACUUUCAACAACAGCAUUUUAUUUACUCACAGCAUUUUUUUGUUGGUUGAUAUUUAGCAGCUCCACCUGCUGAUGCCCAACCCUGCAGGACGAUAUGCAAGUAAAAAUGAUGCAAGAAAUAGAAAAUGGUGACUUCCUUUUUCCACUUCUUCUGAUUAAUUUCACACAUUUGGUAUAUUAAUGAUUGGUUUUUUCAC
This 2177-nucleotide long non-coding RNA is filed under the name Parus major (Great Tit). RNAcentral describes it as "lncRNA (ENSPMJG00000001127.1)". Lineage: Eukaryota; Metazoa; Chordata; Aves; Passeriformes; Paridae. The record is from RNAcentral.